Molecule: ribosomal RNA, 370 nt
Filed under: uncultured bacterium
Lineage: Bacteria
Description: bacterial SSU rRNA
Rfam family: Bacterial small subunit ribosomal RNA
Source: RNAcentral
AACGAACGCUGGCGGCAGGCCUAACACAUGCAAGUCGAACGGGCGUAGCAAAUACGUCAGUGGCGGACGGGUGAGUAACACGUGGGAAUAUGCCUUUCGGUUCGGAACAACUCGGGGAAACCCGUGCUAAUUCCGGAUACGCCCUUACGGGGAAAGAUUUAUCGCCGAAAGAUUAGCCCGCGUUGGAUUAGCUAGUUGGUGAGGUAACGGCCCACCAAGGCAACGAUCCAUAGCUGGUUUGAGAGAGCGACCAGCCACACUGGGACUGAGACACGGCCCAGACUCCUACGGGAGGCAGCAGUGGGGAAUCUUGGACAAUGGGGGAAACCCUGAUCCAGCCAUGCCGCGUGAGUGAUGAAGGCCUUCGGUU